CCAUGCCGAUAGUAGAGGGCCUGAUGUGGGGCUUGAACUCAACGAAUCGUGAGAUCAUGACCUGAGCCAAAGUUGGACCCUUAACUGACUGAGCCACCAAGGCGCCCCCCCCUCCCCCCUUUUUGGAUGUUUCUUUCUAAUUCAAGAUCUAGCUCAAAUAUUAUUUCUUUAAGGAAGGAUUAGGUGUCUUUCCUUUGAAGUUCAAUAGCCCACCUUUUAUAGCCAGGCUUUCAUUAUAUUGGGACUUUUGGUAUAGAUUUCUGUAUCCUCUACUGGGUUCUAGGCUUCUGGUGGGCAGACUUUGUCUUAUUAACAUCUGUAUGUUCAGCCCCAGCACAGUACUUGGCAUACAGUGGAAACUAGGAAAUGUUUGUUGAAUGAAAAAUGCAGCCAAACACUUAAGUAUGAAAUAUAUACCAGGCUUCAAACUGUUUUUUAAAAAUCCCCCAGUUUUAUAAUCUUGCUAGUCCAAUCAGCUUGAGUCACAGAGCCAAGGAAAUAAAUAAAUUCAACUUUUCUUAUCAUGGGCCUGCUGUCAACUGUGACUGCCCAUAGGGUCAGGACAGGGCCACCUCCUCAGUGCAGGCGAGGCAAAUCCUCAAGAUGGCACAUCAUUAGACAGAAUUUCUAAGAGCUCAUGACACGGCUUUUUCCUUUUGUUUCUGGGAACAGUUUAAAUAGUGACCCUUGUCAGUCCCCAGGCACGUGCUUUGUUACUGCCGCUGAGUGCUAUCCUGCUCCUAUCCAAAGGAUGGGAUGGGCGGAGUGUCAGCUCUCAGGCUAAGCAGAGGGAGUAGACUGGACCUUGUACCACCUUGCCUUAGCUCCACCUUUCUCACAGAGAUCUCACGAUAUCUCCGUGACAGUCUCCUUGUCCCCUACAAGUAAUCCUGUGAGAGAAUAGCCUAUGGGUUUGCCCCAGUCUAGUGUUUACUCGAGGAGACAGAGGGCUAAGCUCCUUUAUCAUUUUGUCCUUACUAGAUCUAUUUAGUGCUAGAAUAGGCGCGGACAGUUUUCCGUAGCUGGUUAGCAAGUUAUCUGUGAUCAAUCAGGCUGCUGUCAGGAACGUGGUCACUUUGCCAAAUCUCAUAUCCUUUUGUUGGGACAGGGGUGACUUGUACAAGUCAAACGGAAAUACAGUGUAAACUUUUUUAUAAUUUACCUGUGCCAGUAACUUGCACCUUUUCAAGUUUCAUUUAAAAUUCCUGUGUUCUUACGAUUUUCUGAGUUCUGAUUGAAUUUUCAGUAACGUUCUCUUUCUCAGAAGUGCUUAGUGUGUCUGUUGAUCUUUUACUAUGGAUCUAUCAAUGGAAGACAGAAGUCCCUACUUGUAAAAAACAAGUAAAAAUUGCUUAGCAUCUUUCUUGAGGGCUUAGGCCCACUAUAUAGUAAGCUCUUAGAAGUUCCUAUAGAAAUUGUUAUUAAAUGCUUAGUGGGCUAAAGUCUAAUGGAAGAAGUAUGAUAAUUUUCUUGUGGAAAGCUUUGAUUGCUUUUGGGGAUAAGAUAGAGUCUGUCAUGGUUCUUACUAAGGCUGAGAAAUAUUUUAAAAAUUGUUGCUAGUGGUGCUGAAGUAUAAUAGACAUUGUACUAGUGUGUGUUAAUUUCCUGCUACUGGCAACAUUUCCUCCUGAUCUCUAGAAAAGACUAAUAGAAUUAUGUAUGUCAGUGGAACCAAGCCCAGUCAAGUGAUCUUUUCUGGAAACUUAUAUUGUUCUCAUUAAUCAGUUGGAUCACCAAUGGUAUGGUAAUGAAGGAGGACCAGGAGAAUAUGAAGGUAUAUUUUAUUCUAGGAAAAAAAUAUUUUAAAGUCAGGAACUAUUGAGACCCAGGCUUUGAUCUAUGGCUUGGCUUUCAUAGAUGAAGAAUAGUAUCUUACAGUCAUAUUGUUUUUAGUAUUAAGAAGAGGUAAGAUAUGUCAAAGAGAUAGGUCCUCUUGGAUUCUAUGAUACUAUGAUAACUACAUCUCUAGUUCUGUAAAUUCCUCAAAUGUCUUUUUCUCUGUGUUCUAGGCAAUACUACUUCAAGUGUGGUCCAUGGAUUGUAUCAGCACAGUAUCAGCGGAGAGCUUGUUAGAAAAACAAAUUCUCUAGUCCCCGUCCCAGCAUCUCUGGGGUGGGACUCCAGGUCUCUUUUCACAUGCUCUCCAAGUGAUUCUUACACACAUUAAAGUUUGGGAAGCAGUGGUCUAGAGCAUCAUAUCCUAAAGUGUGUUUUCUUAGUUUUUUUGUAAGUGCCACACCAAAAAUUGUUCCAAUCAUGGUCAAUUUGGAAACUGCUAGGUUAAACAAAGUUAAGCUUUUUAGUUUCCAUUAUUAUUAUUAUUAUUAUUAUUAUUAUUAUUAAUUAUUAUUAUUAUUAUUAUUUUGUGGGGGGCUACCAGAUUUUGCAGAGCUUCUAAUAUGUUACUCUGCUGUUCAAAAUUCUCUUGUGGACUUCUAGCACACUUAAAGUACAAUCCAGAGUUAUCAUGGAUAAUCCAAAGGUCUUAUCAUGGCCUGUAGGACCCUGCAUGAUCUAGCCAUUGACUCUCUGAUCUCAUUUCCUGUCUUUGUUGCUCUUGCUUAGUACACUUCACCGCCUACGCUGAUCUUUUAGCCAAGCACACUCUUACUUUAAAGCCUUUGCACCUGUUCUUCCCACUGUAUGGAAACCUCUGGUCCCUCCUCACAUGUUUCUUCUAUAGAGAGACCUUCCCAGGUCAUCCUGUACAAAACCGUAGCUCCGGUCACUUCACUCAAGCCCCUUACCCUAAUUUGUUUUUCAUUAUAGCCCUCACAACUGUCUGACAUGUACAGUAUUGAUUGUUCAAUUGUUUACUGUUUGUCUCCUCCACAAGAAUGUCUGCUUCAUGGGGAGUUUGUUCAUCACAGAUUCUUUGGUACCUGGACUAGUGCCUGACCCAUGAAGGGCAAGGAAAAGAAUGAUGGUGGGAGAAAACACAUCUGGUUUGUCCCCCAAAGGCCGCUCUUCAAGAGGAGCUUGAAAAGAUCAAGGUGCACCAUGUCAUAAAUUAAAGGAGCUGUAGCUAAGUUAUUAGGAUAGAAGCCUUGGAUACCACUGUGGAUAUUGGGGACAUAUUGGUGGUACAGCCAAUCUUACCUUUAGGAUUACCUUGGAUUAUCCUCCAAGUCAGGCAGCAGAGACUGAAGUUUCUGGUGCAACAGCAAGUACCAGCCUGGUUAAGCACAGAAGGAUGUUUGAAUGCAGUCUUAUUUUAUAUGUGGUCAACUCUCCAGUGAACUAUUUUGGUUGUGACUUUUGCUUCCCUAUACAACUGCAGGAACUCGGAUAAUGAACAAUUAGAAAUAUGUAUCAGUAGACACACCAGCACAUAGACCUCAGUUACCAGCACUUGAAGAGAAUCCCAGAUGUUUUAAAGAAAAAUGCCUGAUAUUUCAAGUAUGCCACUUGUGGAGUUUUCAAGAGAUCUACAGUAAGCUGGAGAGCCAAAGUAGAACUGGAACUUAUAAAAGUGACACAGAUGACCUAAAAAUGAAUGAGCCAGCGGGUCAAUAUCUACAGAUAUGAAAACACUGGAAUGAUCCUUCCAGGGUGCAGACAAAUAUUUCUAGAGAAAGGAUGAUGACAACACAGAAGGACAGCCCUCAGCUGACCAGUGGUAGACAUACAGCUUGGUUUUAGAAAUGUAGAGUCAUUUUGGAAGGAGAGUUCUAGCUGAACACCUCUAUUUACUGGAUGGCAGCUACAUAAAAUGCAGCCUGAAAGGUUAAGAAGGAAAAGAGCUCCUGAAGGUCUGGCCUUGUCACCCGAAGCCUAUAAUGUGAGGAGAAGAGUCACAGAAUCAAUGCAAGCGUAGAAAAUUCAUGACUGGAAGCAUCAGGAUGCACAAAGAGGACCAAAUCUAAAGCUCAGUUACAGAGGAAGAACAGGACUGCUGCCACUUUGCAAACAUUUCAAGAGGUCACCCUCUGUGGGGAGGAUGAAGUCAACAAGAUGAAUCUCCUCAGAGUAACUGCUGGAUAGUGUUGACGAACGCUUGAAUCACGUCAUCGGACUGCAGCUGUACUGACAGUGGACCCCGAGCUGUCCUGCAUACUGUUGGUUUCGCCCUUCUAGGACGCGGCCAGGCCCCUGGAGACCUAGACAGCUGAAGCCGUAGACCCAGAACAUGGUCUCUCCCAUGGCAGAAAACCUGGUUGUGGGCUCUGCUUUGAAAUUCACUCUUGCAACACCAGACCCCCGCCACUGAGCACCAGCCGUAAAUGAAAGCAAAAGCUAGAGUUCAGGCGGAAGCUAAAAGUAAUUACACGGACUUGGCUGACCCUUUCAGGGAUAGAUUCUUCCAUUUAUAACAGAGACUAAAACAGAAAAAAACCCACUGGAGGUGGUCAGGGCUGAAACAGUGUUUCUAGCGUCUUCCGGGUCACCACUCAGUAACUUAUUUCAAAUCGUUUUGAAUGGUGAGUUCUCACAUCCAGGUGUUCCUCUGCCUCACCUGUUUACAAAUGUCCUUACCAGUUUUUAUUCCAUUAGGCCUCAGCAUAGAAAAGUAACAAGCAUCUCAGGCUUCAGGGUUUUGAUUUUUAAAACGAACAAAAUAAAAAAGAGGCCAACAAAAAAACCCAGACUCUUAAAUGCAGAGAACAGGCUGGUGGUUG
This is a long non-coding RNA of Felis catus (domestic cat), 4619 nucleotides long. RefSeq lists it as uncharacterized. The transcript has 10 exons. The record is from RefSeq and is a predicted model, not a curated record. Lineage: Eukaryota; Metazoa; Chordata; Mammalia; Carnivora; Felidae.